Molecule: ribosomal RNA, 467 nt
Filed under: uncultured bacterium
Lineage: Bacteria
Description: partial 16S ribosomal RNA
Rfam family: Bacterial small subunit ribosomal RNA
Source: RNAcentral
GACGAACGCUGGCGGCGUGCUUAACACAUGCAAGUCGAACGGAAAGGCCCUGCUUUUGUGGGGUGCUCGAGUGGCGAACGGGUGAGUAACACGUGAGUAACCUGCCCUUGACUUUGGGAUAACUUCAGGAAACUGGGGCUAAUACCGGAUAGGAGCUCCUGCUGCAUGGUGGGGGUUGGAAAGUUUCGGCGGUUGGGGAUGGACUCGCGGCUUAUCAGCUUGUUGGUGGGGUAGUGGCUUACCAAGGCUUUGACGAGUAGCCGGCCUGAGAGGGUGACCGGCCACAUUGGGACUGAGAUACGGCCCAGACUCCUACGGGAGGCAGCAGUGGGGAAUAUUGCACAAUGGGCGGAAGCCGGAUGCAGCAACGCCGCGUGCGGGAUGACGGCCUUCGGGUUGUAAACAGCUUUCGCCUGUGACGAAGCGUGAGUGACGGGAAUGGGUAAAGAAGCACCGGCGAACUACGU